AAGUCGUAACAAGGUUUCCGUAGGUGAACCUGCGGAAGGAUCAUUGACAAAAUCUAUUAUAUAUAAAUCUUUGUGAAUUGAAAGUGUUAAAAAGCUUUCCAUUAUAAACAUAAUUUUAAAGCCUGAUUUCUUUGAAAAAAGUAAAAUUUAAAAACAACUUUUAACAAUGGAUCUCUUGGCUCUU
RNAcentral lists this unclassified non-coding RNA (184 nucleotides) under fungal sp. Its description in RNAcentral is "partial internal transcribed spacer region". The stretch from base 1 to 46 matches the Rfam family "Eukaryotic small subunit ribosomal RNA", at positions 1786 to 1831 of the family's 1831-position model. Lineage: Eukaryota; Fungi. The record is from RNAcentral. RNAcentral also lists the same sequence under 1 other name.